UGGUAACUGCCCGGUCUGCCCCGCCGGGUAUGGGAGAGCACAGCUUCGUGCUUUUCAGAAAAUGAGUGCAAUAGUCUAGAUCAGGGAUGCUGCGGUUGGAGAUCCCAAUGCAGAAAUGCGGCAAGUCGUAGCCAGGAUGGAACAGCAUUGCCGUGGGCUCCUGGAGGAGAUUAUUUGCUUAGGCAAAAUGUUUAAAUAAAUCCUCCCCCUAAAAAAAACACAUUUAUUUUGAAUUUAAAAUAAAUAAAAAUAAAUCGUUAUAAUACA
Long non-coding RNA from Pseudophryne corroboree (corroboree frog), 267 nucleotides. RefSeq lists it as uncharacterized. NCBI's taxonomy places the organism in Eukaryota, Metazoa, Chordata, Amphibia, Anura, Myobatrachidae. The transcript has 2 exons. The record is from RefSeq and is a predicted model, not a curated record.